UACGUAGGGGGCAAGCGUUGUCCGGAAUCAUUGGGCGUAAAGCGCGUGUAGGCGGCCCGAUAAGUCCGCUGUGAAAGUCCAGGGCUCAACCCUGGAAUGCCGGUGGAUACUGUCGGGCUCGAGUCCGGAAGAGGCGAGUGGAAUUCCUGGUGUAGCGGGGAAAUGCGCAGAUAUCAGGAGGAACACCAAUGGCGAAGGCAGCUCGCUGGGACGGUACUGACGCUGAGACGCGAAAGCGUGGGGAGCAAACAGG
RNAcentral lists this ribosomal RNA (253 nucleotides) under uncultured bacterium. RNAcentral describes it as "partial 16S ribosomal RNA". It matches the Rfam family "Bacterial small subunit ribosomal RNA", at positions 524 to 776 of the family's 1533-position model. The record is from RNAcentral.